GACGAACGCUGGCGGCGUGCUUAACACAUGCAAGUCGAACGGAAAGGCUCCAGCUUGCUGGAGUACUCGAGUGGCGAACGGGUGAGGAACACGUGGGUAAUCUGCCCUGCACUCUGGGAUAAGCCUGGGAAACUGGGUCUAAUACUGGAUAUGACCUUUCUCCUUAUGGGGUUUGGUGGAAAGUUUUUCGGUGUAGGAUGAGCCCGCGGCCUAUCAGCUUGUUGGGGGGGUGAUGGCCUACCAAGGCGACGACGGGUAGCCGGCCUGGGAGGGUGAUCGGCCACAUUGGGACUGAGAUACGGCCCAGACUCCUACGGGAGGCAGCAGUGGGGAAUAUUGCACAAUGGGCGGAAGCCUGAUGCAGCGACGCCGCGUGAGGGAUGACGGCCUUCGGGUUGUAAACCUCUUUCAGCAGGGACGAAGCGUAAGUGACGGUACCUGCAGAAGAAGCACCGGCUAACUAUGUG
RNAcentral lists this ribosomal RNA (467 nucleotides) under uncultured bacterium. RNAcentral describes it as "partial 16S ribosomal RNA". It matches the Rfam family "Bacterial small subunit ribosomal RNA", at positions 28 to 507 of the family's 1533-position model. The record is from RNAcentral.